GAGAGGGAGGUCCACCCCCAUGGGAAUUAAGCCCGGCUCCAGAUCCUUCGGGAGGCCACCAUGGGGGAUUAUGGCCCAAGGGGGGCAACCUGAUCCCACCCAUCCGGGGGGGKGAAAGAGGCCUUAUGGUUGUUAAACCCCUUUCACGAGGAGGGAAGUCGUUAAGGUUAAUCAUAGGGAUAAUGGACGUUACUCGCAGAAUAAGCACCGGCUAACUCUGUGCCAGCAGCCGCGGUAAUACAGAGGGUGCGAGCGUUAAUCGGAAUUACUGGGCGUAAAGCGCGCGCAGGCGGUUUAUCAAGUCGGAUGUGAAAUCCCCGAGCUCAACUUGGGAAUUGCAUUCGAUACUGGCGAGCUAGAGUAUGGUAGAGGAGGGUAGAAUUCCAGGUGUAGCGGUGAAAUGCGUAGAGAUCUGGAGGAAUACCGAUGGCGAAGGCAGCCCUCUGGCCUAAUACUGACGCUCAGGUGCGAAAGCAUGGGGAGCAAACAGGAUUAGAUACCCUGGUAGUCCACGCCGUAAACGAUGUCUAUUAGCAGGUGGUGCCUUUGAGGCGUGAGUGCCGCAGCUAACGCGAUAAAGUAG
This 583-nucleotide ribosomal RNA is filed under the name Acinetobacter baumannii. RNAcentral describes it as "bacterial SSU rRNA". Lineage: Bacteria; Pseudomonadati; Pseudomonadota; Gammaproteobacteria; Moraxellales; Moraxellaceae. The record is from RNAcentral.